AUUAAACAAAAAAACACAAAAAUGAGUAUAUUACAAAAGAAAUACUUUUAAAAUUCAGAGUUUGAAAAGAAACAAAGCCAAAUUGUUUGAAAAUCAAAGUUUUCAUUUCACACUCUGUGAGGCCGAACGGAAAAUGAUACUGUGUGUGUCGCUCUCCCAGAGCUGGAGCUCAGCAUUGCACAAGGUAAGUCAGACGGUGGCCUGAACUGCUGUUCUCACUGAUGUGGCAAAAGUUCUAAAACAGGGGUUUGAGGAAGGCAGGGCUGACUUGGCAUCCUAGUUUGAGAUCUAGUCCAUCACAGCGAGGCAGGCACAGCAGCAGAACCACAGGGCUGCUGGGAGGACUGCGUCCUCAGGCAGCAGGCAGAGGUGAAUGGUGUUGCUUAGCUUCCUUACUUUUCAUUCAGACCAGGACCCCAGCCCAUGGAAUAGUGCCACCCACAUUUAGGGUGUUCUUCCCAUCUCAAUUAACCUAAUCUGGAAAAGCCCUCCACAAGAAUGCCCCAAGGUUUAUUUCCAUAGUGACUCUUCAAUCCCAUCAAGUUGACAACCAAGACUAACCAUUACAGCUUCCUAGAACAGAGUCAAGCACCACUCACAGUACCCUGGGAGAAACUUGAGCAUGACUCUCCCACCUGCUACCUCCAGGAAGCCAUGUGUAAAAGAAAGGAGUUACGAUGAGCUCUGGGAUUUUGUACUCCAAGGCUGUGAUUCCUAGAUUUUUUUUUACAAACUAUAUAUUUUCUCAUAAGAGCCAUACCUUGUUCAAUCCAGUAUAGUCUGACUUUCAGCCUUGUCCCCAAACAUUUUAAUACCCUAUUUGUCAAAUUAAAUGACUUUUCCUUAUUCUGUAUUAUCUGCUCUUCAACUUGACACCACUUCCUCACUCAGGUCCUCUCUUUCUAGAUGUUUUCACUCCUGAUUCUUUGUCUGUUGCUCUGACUGCUCUUCUCCAGUUUUCCCCUUGUUCUUCCCACUCAGCCAAUCCCCUAAAGGCAAGUACUCUCCCAAACCCACCCCACAGCUUUCUCUCUUUCUUCUUUAUUUGAAUUCUUUCCUUUGAAAGUUUAAGCCACUCCCACUGUUGGUUUUGUGUGAAGCAUUAGAACCUACUAGAUAUCUCCACUUCCUGUACUUCUCUGGCACUGCUAACAGGACCUCAAACUCAGCACUCACAACUCCCAGGAGUAAACCGGCAGUGUGAGUUCUAGUGCCACCACUUAGGAAGAGCGUGCACGGGAGCAAAUCAUGACUGUGAGUUCAGGGUUCUCACCCAGAGGAAUCAGGAACACAAACAGGAGUUCUGGCUGAUUUACAGGAUGGCAGGAAAGGUGGAAAUCUGUACGUUCUGUACAGGCUACUGAGCUACUAGAAAAGUUAGUAAUGAUCAGCAGGCUCGGAAUGUUGCUGUUGCCACUAAUUGCUCUAAUUUACAAAAUCCUCAUUAUCAAGACUUAAGUGUAUCUUCUUAGUUCCUCCUCUUUAAUAUUCCCAAUAUUUACUUUUUUUUUUCUGGUUUUAUUCCAACUGAGCUAAUCUAGACCUGUUUAUCAGUUCAUGGGUUGAUUAGUUAAAAAACAAAAAACAAAAAACAGCUUUACUUUCUAAUCAGAAUUUCUGUAUUUAAUUUCUUUUUCUUAGAUAUACUUUCCAUCCUGCUGCUUGGUAACUCUUCCUGUAGGAUAACCAUUUCCUAUCAGCAGCAGAAUAAAGUCUAAGAUCUUGGAAAAACCAAAUUCCACAUAAUCCUAAAGUACAUUACUCACAUUAUUAACUCCAUACCCUUCAACUAAGAAUCUUAACUUCAGCCACAACAUACCAAAAUAUCUGGCAAUCCUCUAAAUAUCAUAUACCUAGUAUUAUAUAUUAUAUAUAACAUAUAACACAUAUAACACACACACACACACACACACGUUCUGUAUUUUGUUCACACCAGCCCAUCAAUCCAUAGUUAUAGCAACCUGUUCUUGUUCUAUUUCAAGAAAUCCCUGGGUCAAAUAAUGUGAUUCCAUCACAACUUUCCAAAUGCCACGAUAGUUUCCUCUUUUGUGUUUCACAGUACUUUUUUUUUUUAAUUCCUGCACCUUAACUACAGUACUUAUAAACUGUUUUGUAAACUGUGUGUUUGAAUUCAUUAUUUGACAUAUUGCCUCUACAGGAUGGGGGCUAAGGAAUGUAACAAUGAAGUCCUCAACAAUCUUGGAAGAACAACCCAUAAGUCAAUCAAAUUAGAAAAGAAAGAGACCCAGGGGCAUUACUGGAGGGGAAGAAGAGCAUCAGGAUCAACACUGAAGACAAGAGACAUUCAUUCUCCAAAAACACCAGCACAUCCAAGAGUCCUCCUCUUGGACCACAACGAUGAGUCAUUCCAGCAUGUCAACCAAAAUGUCUUUUAUAGAUACCCUGUAGGUAAAUGGAAUUAGAAGCCAAAGUAAAGAUCAUAACUGAAGGCCGGAACUUCCAGAGAAUCUACUGUUUCCAAGCCUUACUACCCAGAUCCCAUUAAAAUAUACAGACUUAUUUUUGGAAAAAAAAAUCCCACAAGGUCAAUAAUCACUACUCUGCCAUUUUUAAAGUAACCAGCGGUGAUGAGGUUCUGCAGUAAAUGUUAGAUCAAUGUUAUAAAUUCACAUAUAACUAAUGAAAUCAACCUUUCUAAGUAUGAUCUACUGAAAAUGGAAACUUCUCAAGAAUAUCCUGAGUGCUUGAAAAAUAUUAUUACAUGACAAUUAUUUUUAGUUUGGGAGAAACCAAAGAUCCACACAUUUACUGUAAAAAUAAAUCAAAACAGACAAAUAUGCAUCUUCAAUCAUGCAUGACAUUUAAGUGCCAAAACAAUAAUAGUGGUCAUGAAUAUAAAACUAUAGUACUAGUUAAUUUUAAACUCACUCUUUUGACUUAGUGCACUAAACCUUAAGAGCUGGAGGAGACCUUACACACUAAUGGGCCGUAGAGUAUCUGACUGGACUGUUUUUAAGAAAAGGCAUGGCAGGAGUUCACUCAUUUCCCCAUCCAAGCUAACAAAACACCAAGACUCAAAACAUCUCUGCUUUAAUUGUUUUGUAUAUUAUGCAUCAAACUAAUAUUCUCCUACAUAAUUGAAUAUAUGGAGCUACUACCAUUAAUUACAUGCAAAUUUUGAACACUUGAAAGUGGGUGGUCAACUGAGAUAUACACUAAAUGUAAUAACAGAUUUCGAAAACAUACUAUGAAAAUAAAAAGGGAAAAAAAAUCUCACAUGUGACUUCUUAUAGGAGUUAUUUUUAGUGAAAAUAUUUUGAAACAUUUAUGUUUGAUAUACACAGAAUCAAAAUGUUAAACUGCCUAGUUUCUAAACUAGUCAAAUAACAUACAACAAAAUAAAUCCAUAGAGUGACUGUGUGCAAUCUGUGAGAGUUACUUUUCUCACUGUAAUGUCAAAAUUCCCGACAAGAAACAAAUUAAAGAAAGAAGGCUUUAUUCCAGCUCACACUUUACAAGAGUACAUGCCAUCAUGGCAAGGAGGGUAUAACAUCAGAACAAGGGUGCAUUCCAUCAUGGUGAGGAAGGUAAGGCAUUGGGAGCCUAUUAUAGGGAAGAAGGUAUGACAUCAGAACAAGGGUGCAUUAUAUCACAGUGUGGAAGGUAAAGUAUUGGGAGCCUAUCAUAGAGAAGAAAGUAUGACAUCAGAACAAGGGUGCAUUCCAUGAUGAGGAAGGCAUGGCAUCAGGAAUGGGAAGGCAGCUCUAUUUGAUUUUGCUUUCUAAAUAGUGACUGCUUAGAAUAUUUAACACUACACAUGAAUCUCAUUUUUAUCAAGAUUUAUACUCACGAUUUUAAAAAAAUCAACAUAUGCAUAAU
Long non-coding RNA from Peromyscus californicus insignis, 3840 nucleotides. RefSeq lists it as uncharacterized. The transcript is spliced from 3 exons. Lineage: Eukaryota; Metazoa; Chordata; Mammalia; Rodentia; Cricetidae. The record is from RefSeq and is a predicted model, not a curated record.